UGGGGAAUCUUGCGCAAUGGGCGAAAGCCUGACGCAGCAACGCCGCGUGUGGGACGAAGGCCUUCUGGGUUGUAAACCACUUUCAGCAGGGACGAUUGUGACGGUACCUGCAGAAGAAGCCCCGGCCAACUACGUGCCAG
This 140-nucleotide ribosomal RNA is filed under the name uncultured bacterium. RNAcentral describes it as "partial 16S ribosomal RNA". It matches the Rfam family "Bacterial small subunit ribosomal RNA", at positions 355 to 511 of the family's 1533-position model. The record is from RNAcentral.